CUCUUGCCACAAGGUCAAAGUCUGGGGUCAGCUUUGGAGGCUGUGGUGGGAGCUGAAGAACAGACUGCAACACGAACCCUCCAGAGGUUACUUUCAGGAUGGUUGCUCCGCUCUGCAACAGGAAGAUGAAGGCGGGCGGGGUUGCUCCGCACCAACAGUCCCGCCCACAACUCAGAGGUGAAUUAUUAAUGAACUACUGUCACUCUGCAGAAACUAUGUCCUAGAAAACCUUUUUUUUUUUUUCUUUUACAUUUAGGCUAAACAUGACAUAAUCGCAAUUAAAAGACCACUAGGAACACUUUAAGAUCAAAGUGGGACUUUAAACACCUAGCAUUAAAGUUAUUAAUUUCAUUUAUUUGGCACGUUCAAAUUCUAAACACAACCUUCCAAAUGUAAUUUGACAAAAAAAAAAAACACGUCUUCCAUCUGUUGCUAGUAAAAAAAAAA
Oryzias melastigma (Indian medaka) is the source of this 447-nucleotide long non-coding RNA. RefSeq lists it as uncharacterized. The transcript is spliced from 2 exons. Lineage: Eukaryota; Metazoa; Chordata; Actinopteri; Beloniformes; Adrianichthyidae. The record is from RefSeq and is a predicted model, not a curated record.